Theobroma cacao (cacao) is the source of this 619-nucleotide non-coding RNA. The record is from RefSeq and is a predicted model, not a curated record. NCBI's taxonomy places the organism in Eukaryota, Viridiplantae, Streptophyta, Magnoliopsida, Malvales, Malvaceae.
AUCUCACUCCUUUUUUCUAUAUAUUUUUCAGGCUUAGGACAGUUUGUAGAUAGUCGAGUAGGACGAAAACUAAGCUCGGAACUGCAUUAUAGAAAGUUUUGAGGUGCACUGGUGACAUACACACCAUAUCUAGGAGAGACGGUAGUCCCGACGCCUCUCAUAGUAUUAGUGAGGGAUCUCUAGAUUCUACUGUUAGGAGCCGAUGGCAGCCCGAACCGAGUAGUCCAAAAAGUGCAGAUAGUAAUAAUAUUAAUGUAAGCAUAAGAGGUUCCCUUUUGAGAGAAUCUAAGGAAUAUACUAAAGAAAGGGAAAAUUAAGGAUAGCCGAAGGAGGUAUUCGUUCUAGGAAGAGUGUGAGAGUAGUCCGACACUUUCCACCAGGCUGUGGGAGAAAUGUAAGGGGACAACCAGAAAAGGAUAAGGAGAAAAUAACAGUGGCAAGUAGACCCCUUAGAAAAGUGUCAAGUGUACGACAUUUUCCUCCCGGUUGUGGAAGAAAUGCUGCACCCGUGAGUGAUGAAGAGUAUAGGAGAAUACAACAAGCUUGGAUUGAGGAGCAAAGGAAAAAAAUCUCAAGAGGAGGAAAACCCGGAAGAGGAUCUUCAGGAGGACUCGGAGUA